GCCCGAGUGGCGGAGCUGGUUGACGCAGCGGUCUCAAACACCGUGGCCCGUGAGGGCGCUGAGGGUUCGAAUCCCUCCUCGGGCA
Molecule: transfer RNA, 85 nt
Filed under: Alphaproteobacteria bacterium
Lineage: Bacteria; Pseudomonadati; Pseudomonadota; Alphaproteobacteria
Description: tRNA-Leu
Rfam family: tRNA
About the family: Transfer RNA (tRNA) molecules are approximately 80 nucleotides in length. Their secondary structure includes four short double-helical elements and three loops (D, anti-codon, and T loops). Further hydrogen bonds mediate the characteristic L-shaped molecular structure. tRNAs have two regions of fundamental functional importance: the anti-codon, which is responsible for specific mRNA codon recognition, and the 3' end, to which the tRNAs corresponding amino acid is attached (by aminoacyl-tRNA synthetases). tRNAs cope with the degeneracy of the genetic code in two manners: having more than one tRNA (with a specific anti-codon) for a particular amino acid; and 'wobble' base-pairing, i.e. permitting non-standard base-pairing at the 3rd anti-codon position.
Source: RNAcentral